GAGCAACCUGCCCCUGGACUCCUGGGAAUAAAGCGCCUGGAAAACGGCGUCUAAAUACCGGGAUACGAGACGUGCCCGCAUGGUCAACGUUUGGAAAGAUUUUUUGGUUCAGGAUGGGCUCGCGGCCUAUCAGCUUGUUGGUGAGGUAAUGGCUCACCAAGGGCGUCGACGGGUAGCCGGCCUGAGAGGGUGACCGGCCACACUGGGACUGAGACACGGCCCAGACUCCUACGGGAGCCAGCAGUGGGGAAUAUUGCACAAUGGGCGAAAGCCUGAUGCAGCAACGCCGCGUGAGGGAUGACGGCCUUCGGGUUGUAAACCUCUUUUAGCAAGGAAGAAGCGAAAGUGACGGUACUUGCAGAAAAAGCGCCGGCUAACUACGUGCCAGCAGCCGCGGUAAUACGUAGGGCGCAAGCGUUAUCCGGAAUUAUUGGGCGUAAAGAGCUCGUAGGCGGUUUGUCGCGUCUGCUGUGAAAACUGGAGGCUCAACCUCCAGCCUGCAGUGGGUACGGGCAGACUAGAGUGCGGUAGGGGAGAAUUGGAAUUCCUGGUGUAGCCGUGGAAUGCGCAGAUAUCCAGGAGGAACACCGAUGGCGAAGGCAGAUCUCUGGGCCGUAAUCUGACGCUGAGGAACCAAAAGGGUGGGGAGCAAACAGGCUUAGAUACCCCGGGAAGUCCACCCCCGUAAACGUUGGGAACUAGUUGUGGGGACCAUUCCACGGUUCCGUGACGCCAUUAACGCUUAAGUUCCCGCCUGGG
This 759-nucleotide ribosomal RNA is filed under the name Microbacterium sp. R38A. RNAcentral describes it as "bacterial SSU rRNA". It matches the Rfam family "Bacterial small subunit ribosomal RNA", at positions 119 to 877 of the family's 1533-position model. Lineage: Bacteria; Bacillati; Actinomycetota; Actinomycetes; Micrococcales; Microbacteriaceae. The record is from RNAcentral.